This 253-nucleotide ribosomal RNA is filed under the name uncultured bacterium. RNAcentral's name for it is "partial 16S ribosomal RNA". It matches the Rfam family "Bacterial small subunit ribosomal RNA", at positions 524 to 776 of the family's 1533-position model. The record is from RNAcentral.
UACGUAGGUGGCAAGCGUUGUCCGGAUUUACUGGGCGUAAAGAGCGCGCAGGCGGUCGUUCAAGUCGCGUGUGAAAGCCCCCGGCUCAACUGGGGAGGGUCACGCGAUACUGAUCGACUCGAAGGCAGGAGAGGGUAGUGGAAUUCCCGGUGUAGUGGUGAAAUGCGCAGAUAUCAGGAGGAACACCGGUGGCGAAGGCGGUUCUCUGGGCAUUACCUGACGCUGAGGAGCGAAAGUGUGGGGAGCGAACAGG